CCUACGGGAGGCAGCAGUGGGGAAUAUUGCACAAUGGGGGAAACCCUGAUGCAGCGACGCCGCGUGAGUGAAGAAGUAAUUCGUUACGUAAAGCCCUAUCAGCAGGGAAGAAACACUGACCUUACGGUCAGCCGACGGUACCUGAGUAAGAAGCCCCGGCUAACUACGUGCCAGCAGCCGCGGUAAUACGUAGGGGGCAAGCGUUAUCCGGAUUUACUGGGUGUAAAGGGAGCGGAGAGGGGGCGCCAAGUCUGGAGUGAAAAGCCGCAGCUUAACUGCGGAACUGCCGUGGAAACUGGCGAACGAGAGUGGGGGAGAGGUAAGCGGAAUGCCUGGUGUAGCGGUGAAAUGCGUAGAUAGUAAGAGGAACGCCGAUGGCGAAGGCAGCUUACUGGAGCGUAACUGACGUUGAGGCACGAAAGCGUGGGGAGCGAACAGGAUUAGAUACCCGAGUAGUC
This 458-nucleotide ribosomal RNA is filed under the name uncultured bacterium. Its description in RNAcentral is "partial 16S ribosomal RNA". It matches the Rfam family "Bacterial small subunit ribosomal RNA", at positions 338 to 795 of the family's 1533-position model. The record is from RNAcentral.